This 72-nucleotide transfer RNA is filed under the name Marmota monax (woodchuck). It matches the Rfam family "tRNA". Rfam says of the family: Transfer RNA (tRNA) molecules are approximately 80 nucleotides in length. Their secondary structure includes four short double-helical elements and three loops (D, anti-codon, and T loops). Further hydrogen bonds mediate the characteristic L-shaped molecular structure. tRNAs have two regions of fundamental functional importance: the anti-codon, which is responsible for specific mRNA codon recognition, and the 3' end, to which the tRNAs corresponding amino acid is attached (by aminoacyl-tRNA synthetases). tRNAs cope with the degeneracy of the genetic code in two manners: having more than one tRNA (with a specific anti-codon) for a particular amino acid; and 'wobble' base-pairing, i.e. permitting non-standard base-pairing at the 3rd anti-codon position. The record is from Rfam by way of RNAcentral. Lineage: Eukaryota; Metazoa; Chordata; Mammalia; Rodentia; Sciuridae.
UGGGGCACAGCUCAGUGAUAGAGUGCUUGCCUACCAUGCAUGAGGGCCUGGGUUCAAUUUCCAGCACCUCAA